GAUGAACGCUGGCGGCGUGCCUAAUACAUGCAAGUCGAACGAAACUUCUUUAUCACCGAGUGCUUGCACUCACCGAUAAAGAGUUGAGUGGCGAACGGGUGAGUAACACGUGGGCAACCUGCCCAAAAGAGGGGGAUAACACUUGGAAACAGGUGCUAAUACCGCAUAACCAUAGUUACCGCAUGGUAACUAUGUAAAAGGUGGCUAUACUACCGCUUUUGGAUGGGCCCGCGGCGCAUUAGCUAGUUGGUAGGGUAAAGGCUUACCAAGGCAAUGAUGCGUAGCCGAAUUGAGAGGUUGAUCGGCCACAUUGGGACUGAGACACGGCCCAAACUCCUACGGGAGGCAGCAGUAGGGAAUCUUCCACAAUGGGCGAAAGCCUGAUGGAGCAACGCCGCGUGGGUGAAGAAGGUCUUCGGAUCGUAAAACCCUGUUGUUAGAGAAGAAAGUGCGUGAGAGUAACUGUUCACGUUUCGACGGCAUCUAACCAGAAAGCCACGGCUAACUACGUG
RNAcentral lists this ribosomal RNA (512 nucleotides) under uncultured bacterium. RNAcentral's name for it is "partial 16S ribosomal RNA". It matches the Rfam family "Bacterial small subunit ribosomal RNA", at positions 28 to 507 of the family's 1533-position model. The record is from RNAcentral.